CGAUGGACUAGGCUGGGAGGUUAGUUCUCUCCUGUAACUGCAAAGGAACUUCAUGGCAGGGCCGAAGCUUGGGUGAGGCAUUGAUAUUGGCUGUUAGUCUUGGCUUGGACGACGACGUUUUGUCCUGCGGGGUUGAUAGUUUUGAGAAUUCCGCCAGGCUGGGAACAGAGCAGCGGUCAUCAUGAUUAUUGGCGCUCGCAGCCAACAAGGCUGAGAAAGAGUCAAGGGAGCUGACAGUUGAUAUUGUGCCGGGUCUCAAGCAUGUCCAUCA
RNAcentral lists this signal recognition particle RNA (271 nucleotides) under Candidatus Woesearchaeota archaeon. Its description in RNAcentral is "signal recognition particle sRNA". It matches the Rfam family "Archaeal signal recognition particle RNA". The record is from RNAcentral. Lineage: Archaea; Nanobdellati; Candidatus Woesearchaeota.